UGCAUCGGCCGGGAAUUGAACCCAGGCCGCCCGCGUGGCAGACGAGCAUUCUACCACUGAACCACCGAUGG
Molecule: transfer RNA, 71 nt
Filed under: Cordylochernes scorpioides
Lineage: Eukaryota; Metazoa; Arthropoda; Arachnida; Pseudoscorpiones; Chernetidae
Description: tRNA-Gly
Source: RNAcentral